Solanum pennellii is the source of this 148-nucleotide long non-coding RNA. RefSeq lists it as uncharacterized. The record is from RefSeq and is a predicted model, not a curated record. NCBI's taxonomy places the organism in Eukaryota, Viridiplantae, Streptophyta, Magnoliopsida, Solanales, Solanaceae. The transcript has 2 exons.
ACCUGCUGUCACCAACAAAGUCAGUGGAAACCACAUCAUCUUCAGUGUAUCCCAAGAUACCCUUCAAUUUACCCUCUGAUUCCUCUCUAUGAACCAACAACACACAAAUAGGUUAGUCUUUGUUGCACAAAGGACCAACCAAAAACAA